UUUAUAAAUUCUUAUUAUGUUUUGUUAAAUAUAAAAUUAACAAUUAUUUUAUUUAUUAUUAUUUUAUUAUUUAUUAUUAUUAAUAUCUUUAUUUACUAUUAUUUUAUUUUUUAUUUAAAAAAAUUAAUUAAUUAAUUAAUUUGAAUUUUAAAUAUUCCCUCCCCUUAUCUGUUGAUGAAGGAUUCCCCUAAAAAAUUACCGUUCCCCCCAAAAUUUUCUCUACAAAAAGGACAUUCUCACCCCAGAACAACAUAUAUACAUUCACCAUCAGACAUUUUUUUUUACGUAUUUUUACACUAUUAGAAACCAGACAGUGAACAUCAGAGAGCAAAAACCAAAGGGAGGAAAACAAAAAAUCAGUGAGAAAGAAUAUCAAAAUACAAAGAAAAAAAUAGUGAAAAAUCAAAGAAGAGAGAAAAACAUCAGACAAAAGAAAGAAAAGAAGGAAGUUGAAGGUUCGUUGAAGGUUCUGGUGACAGAUUUCUUUAUUCAUUAGUCCAUUCAAUUUAUUACAGGUUUUUUAUUCGAUCCUGUAUCACUCACGUUAUGAAUUUACUUAUAAAUGCAUGAAUAAAGAUGUUUAAGUUGCUUUAUGUAUUAUUUAAUAAAUAUAGUUAAUUGAUUAUGUGAGUUUCUUAUUAUUGCAUGUUAUUUAAUUAAGUUAUAACAUAUUUAUUUAUGUUUUUUUGAGUGUUAAAAAUCUGUGUGUUAAUUCUGUUAAAGUUAAAAAUUUGAACCGAAAAGAGAAAUAGAUGAAAAGAAAAUUGACAGGCUUUUUGAUGUACGCAUGAUCACACACACUAUUUUUCAACUUACAUACACUACAGAUUUCAUACAUCAACAUUUGUAUUCAUUGAAAAAUAGACGUACAAUAAUACACACAACGUAUAUAAAAAUGGUGAGAAAAUCUGGAUGCAAGGAGAGAAAAAUUAGUAAAAUUCGGAUGAAUUAGAUAGCAAAAGAAAGAUAUAGAUAGAAGGAGAUGCCGGUAAGAAGGUGUUUUCUAGUGAAAUCCUCAUUGGAUUCGCUGCCGGAAAAAACUUAUAUUCACUGUUUCGUCACGGUUAAGGCGAUUAGUCACCGGAAAAACCCAAACCAGUGAUACCGUCUAUCUUUCUUCCUUAUCCGGCUACCACUAGUACCGCCGACGCUGCUUCUCUUUCUUUUUUUCCCCUCCCCGUCGGAAAGUUCAAAAAACACCGAUGAAGCCACUAACGCCGCCAGCGACACCACCAACGGCAAAAACGCCGACUAAAUUGCCAGCCAUCAUCCUUACUCUCAGAUCUGGCCAAUCCCUCACCGUAUUUGCACCACUGGCCGACAAACCUACAACCCGUAUACAUCGAUCUACGCACAAACCCACCGAAAAAUACACACGCACCUUGCACGCACACCUGAUCGUUGCCGGAAAAAUCCCCACUGUCGCCAUACCAUUUACAGGCCAGAUCUGGCCAGAAUUUAAGAGUUUCAAUGGCUUUUUGAAGGAUAGGGUUCCGUUAUUUUUUUUAUAUCUGUAUGUGUUAAUUUUUAUACAAGUUUGUUUAGAAUAAUUUAAUAUUUGAUGAUAGUUGACUAUAAAUAUUUAUAAUGAAGUAUAUUUGAUUAAACAAAAAUGACAAUAUGCAUAUUUAAAAGUGCAUUUUAAUUACUGUUUAACUUAUUUUCUUGGAUUUUAUAAAUUAAAAUCUCAAAAAAAAAAUAUUAUUUUAAGAUCAAAAAGAUAAUAUGUAAUUUCGGAUUAGAUUUUUAUAAUGUUUAAUAAAUUUUAUUUAAAUUAUUUUCGAAUAUAAAGUAUUUGAUAGUUUUCUCCUUCAUGACAAGUCCGAUUGUAAAACAAUUUAACUAUGUUAUUU
This 1853-nucleotide long non-coding RNA is filed under the name Capsicum annuum. RNAcentral's name for it is "long non-coding RNA (CANN_LNC000599)". The record is from RNAcentral. Lineage: Eukaryota; Viridiplantae; Streptophyta; Magnoliopsida; Solanales; Solanaceae.